RNAcentral lists this ribosomal RNA (566 nucleotides) under Martiniozyma asiatica (nom. inval.). RNAcentral's name for it is "Martiniozyma asiatica partial 26S ribosomal RNA". It matches the Rfam family "Eukaryotic large subunit ribosomal RNA", at positions 50 to 657 of the family's 3401-position model. Lineage: Eukaryota; Fungi; Ascomycota; Pichiomycetes; Pichiales; Pichiaceae. The record is from RNAcentral.
GCGGAGGAAAAGAAACCAACAGGGAUUGCCUUAGUAGCGGCGAGUGAAGCGGCAAAAGCUCAAAUUUGAAAGCUGGCUUUCGGGCCCGCGUUGUAAUUUGCAGACUUGGAACUUUGGGCGUAGGUUGGCUAAGUCCCUUGGAACAGGGUGCCUUAGAGGGUGAGAGCCCCGUGAGCCGACUUUUGCGUCUUUUAAGUCCUUGUCGACGAGUCGAGUUGUUUGGGAAUGCAGCUCUAAGUGGGUGGUAAAUUCCAUCUAAAGCUAAAUAUUGGCGGGAGACCGAUAGCGAACAAGUACAGUGAUGGAAAGAUGAAAAGCACUUUGAAAAGAGAGUGAAACAGUACGUGAAAUUGUUGAAAGGGAAGGGUAUUUGAUCCGACAUGAAGAUUAGCUAUCGUUGCUCCUUGUGGGCGGCGCUCUAGGUUUUCUUUGGGCCAGCAUCAGUUUUGUCGGGAGGAGAACAGUGUCUGAUCUGCUUCGGCGGUGACGGCUCUUAUGCUCCCAGAUGGGACUGAGGACUGCCAUUGUAGGAUGCUGGCAUAACGGUCAAAUAUCGCCCGUCUUGA